RNAcentral lists this ribosomal RNA (253 nucleotides) under uncultured bacterium. RNAcentral describes it as "partial 16S ribosomal RNA". It matches the Rfam family "Bacterial small subunit ribosomal RNA", at positions 524 to 776 of the family's 1533-position model. The record is from RNAcentral.
UACAGAGGUCUCGAGCGUUGUUCGGAUUCAUUGGGCGUAAAGGGCGCGUAGGCGGCGGGGUAAGUCUGGUGUGAAAUCUCGGAGCUCAACUCCGAAAUUGCACUGGAUACUGCUCUGCUAGAGGGCUGGAGAGGAGAUCGGAAUUCACGGUGUAGCAGUGAAAUGCGUAGAUAUCGUGAGGAAGGGGAGUGGGGAAGGCGGAUCUCUGGACAGCUCCUGACGGUGAGGCGCGAAGGCUAGGGGAGCAAACGGG